Molecule: long non-coding RNA, 4154 nt
Organism: Spinacia oleracea (spinach)
Lineage: Eukaryota; Viridiplantae; Streptophyta; Magnoliopsida; Caryophyllales; Amaranthaceae
Exons: 4
Source: RefSeq, a predicted model, not a curated record
AGUUGAAGUUAGUAGAUUUUGAGGCGAUUGAUUUACCUGUUAGUCUACCUACUGGUGUAACCAUAAAGUGUACCAAGUUGUUUAAGAACUUGCCUUUGAAGACAAAAGAUUGUGUUUUUCCUUCUGAUUUGAUAAAGUUUAGUCUGAGGGACCUAGAUGUAAUUUCGGGGAUGGACUAGCUAAGUGUGUACAAGGCUAAGGUAGAUUGUGAAGUUCAGAAAGUAAGUUUAAGGAACCUUAUUGGAAAAUUGACCUCAUAUAGAUGUUUUGAAAAGUCCAAGAACCUUUACUUAUUUCCGUAAUGCAAGUGAGGAAAUUGAUGAAUAGGGAGUACGAACUAUUUUCUGUAGUGUGUCAGAGGUGAUUAAAGAAGUUAGUGACAAUCGAGGAUGUUGCCAUUGUGAGUGGAUUCAUUGAUGUGUUUCCGAGUGAAAUUACAAGUAUGUUACCUGUUAGAGCUUUUGAGUUCACUAUAGACUUAGAUCCUGAAACGACACCUAUAUCCAAGGCACCUUAUAGCAUGACACCUCCUGAAAUGAGCGAAUUAAGACACAUAGUUGCCAGAGUUGUUUCGUUAAGGGGUAUAUUAGGCAUAGUGCAUCGCCGUAGGGAGCUCCUGUGUGGUUUGUUAAGGAGAAAGAUAAGAGUAUGGAAUUAUGCAUCGAUUUUAGGGAACUAAACACCAUAAAGAACAAAUACCCUUUGCCUAGGAUAGAUGACAUAUUGGAUCAAUUGAAUUGGGCGAGUGUGUUCUCGAAGACUGAUUUGUGUUUGAGGUAUCACCAGUUGAGAGUAGCUGAGAAAGACAUACCUAAGACUGCAUUUAGGACUCGUUAUGGUCAUUAUGAGUUUACAGUAACGCCUUUUGGGUUAACCAAUGCACCUGCCAUAAUUAUGGAUUUGAUGAAUAAGAUUUUCCACGAAUUCCGAAUUAAGUUCGUUAUUAUAUUAUUGAUGAUAUCCUGAUUUUUUUAAGGAAUGAGAAAGAGCAAGACAAACACUUGUGGAUUAUUUUGGGGACGCUUAGAAAGAAUAUAGUUUUAUUAAAUGAAGUAUACAAAUCUUGAAGUCAUGUGUGUAGAUUGACACCGACGAAAAAAAAGGGUUUUAGGACUAAAUUGAUUGAAAACUAUGACAAAUUUAAGAGAGGAUUUGAAUUGUCCAGGAUUGUUAGAAAUCAUUUGUGUCUCGAAAAGAUGGAAGGAAUUAUAUGAAUUGGUGGAAAGAGCUAAGAGUUAAGCCCAAAAGUUAUGCAUCCAUGAAAGGCGUGAUGAGGUUCAGUAGAAAAGGAAAGUGGAGCAGAAGGAGUGUCUGUAGAUCCUGCUAAGGUUCAAGCUGUGAGUGAGUGACCUACUCCAAAGAACGUGUCUAAUGUUUGAAGUUUCCUAGGCCUAUUUGACUAUUAUAGGAGGUUUCCGAGAGACUUUUCGAAGAUAGCAAGACCAAUGACCAAUCUGAUGAAAAAGGAAUCAAAGUUUGAGUGAAGGGAGAAAUGUGUGAAAGCUUUCCAGAUUGUAAAAGAGCAUUUGACCCCCGCACUCGUUGUCACGUCAGUUGAAACCUUACGAGGCUAAUUAACCUACUCAUGACCUAAAGCUAGCUGUUAUUGUGUUAUAUGCGAAUAUUCGGAGACAUUACCUUUAUAGGGCAACAUGUAAGAUCCUUACCGAGCACAAAAGUCUGAAAUUUUGGCAAUAAGGUCCAGUUGAAGCUUGGGGACAACAUUGAAAAUGAUACUGCUUUCCACCCUGUAACCGAUGGUCAGCUUGAGAGCACUAACCAAACCAUGGGAGAUAUGUUGAGAGCAUGUACUAUUGACUUUAAAGAGAAGUUGGGAGAUCAUUUAGAUUUGAUUGAAUUGUCAUGCAUCGAUAGUUACCAUGCGAGCAUUACGAUGUCACAUGUUGAGGCAUUGUGUGGAAAAAGUGUAGAAGUCCAUUGCUGGAAUGAUUUGAGUGAAAAUAUUGUAUUGGGGACAUAAUUCGAUGAAGUGGAAGUAUCCAAAGUUAUUCCCUGAGAUGAGUUACGAGGGCGUAACUCGUUUUCUUUAAGGGGGUAGAAUGCGAUAGAAAUUCGCGCUUUUUACCUACUUUUAUAGCAACCUCAUUCCGAGGCCCGACCACCUUAAUACAAAAAAAAAAAAAAUCAAAGUCUCCUCAAUCAAGGGCAUCCUAAAAAUCAAAUCAAAUUCAAAGUUCAAUGUUGUUGUUGUUAUUAUUCCAAAUGUGCAAAUCAAAUAAAAAGCAUGUUCAAGCGGAAUUUGGCACAACUUUCAAAUAACUGUUAUUUUGGCUCUAAAGCCUCAAUCCAAGCUAAUUCGAUUACAAGGUUGGGAUCAAGUGAAGCAAAGUUAUUCAAAGACUUUUUCACUUCCACUAAGCACAUUUUCUAAACACAUUUAUAAACACACUCUAAAACACGUUCCCUGCAAAUACAAUUCCAAACACUUCAAGCCUACAAAGAUCUGGGGUUGGGCGACCAUACUCUUGAGUCUUAGAACCUCGAGUACUAUCCCCUUGCCCUCCUCGCAAUCAUUCAUCCAUCUUCCCCUUACCCAAGCCGCGGGAGAAGGAACUAGCAAAUCUUCCAAGGCGGGAUGAUGAUGAGCCUCCUCUGAACCCCGAACGGUCAAGCAACGAAUGGGCCACACUCUCAUCUCCCUCCUCAUAAGCAAUUGAUGCAGGAUGUCUAGCUGUAGAACCUCUGACUCCCACAUACUCGGAAAAAGAAAUGUUCCUCUGGCUUUGUAAUCCCCCGUAAUUUUAUACAUUUUAUUAAUAUAUUUUAACGUAUAAGUAAUUAUAUUAAAAUAGAAUUUACGAAUUUUGAAAUAAAUAUUUAAGUAACGAAUAUUUAUUUUUAUACGUUUUAAAUAUUUCAACGAUUUAUGAAAUUAAAAUAAUUUUAGAACUUUUUGUUGAAAAGAAAUCGAAUUACGAAAACCGUUUGAAUUUGGAAAACAAUCCUAAUUGGUUUUGGAUUCAAAUACUUAAACUCAAUCCUAGUUCUAGCCCAAAUUGAUAAAGCCCAAAUAACAAAAACUCAAAUUCUUUACUCCCUCCUCUUUCUAUUUCACGUGAAAAGCAAAAAAAACCCAAAACCCCUUCCCUUCUCUUUCACUUUCACGUGGAUUUCAAACCCUCAAGAACUCCCUCCCUCUCGCUGCCGUCCACCUCCUGCUCUCCUCACCGUCGACCUUGCGGUUGCCCAGCCGCCGCCGCAUCACCACCGCGCCGAGCAUUCGUAGCCUGGCUGUAACCGUCGCCCUGCGCCCUCGCCGUCCACCUUGCGCGCCACCGCAGGUAGCACCACCGUGUGCCGCCGUCGCUCAGCCCUGCCGCAAGCCACCUCUGUCCGCCGGCCAACUCUCUCUCCUCCUCCUUGAAUUGGCGGAGAAUUCUCUUUAGGCGACUUUUGAAAGUGUUAAAGUGGCCUAUCAGUUUGUUUACACAAGGUACGUACAUACCUGUGUGCUUGGAAUGUGUGCUAAUUGUUGAAACCAUGUUGAAUUGUUGAUAAACUUGGUUAUGUUAAUGUUGUUGAUUAACUUAGUCAGGUUGAAAUUGCAUGUUUGAUACUGUUGGAUGAACAUAUUAAACCUUUAUUGCAUUUUGAGGAUUAUAACAUGUUAGUAUGGAAUAUUGAUGCAAACAUGUUUGAUUGGGAACACUAGAUUAUUUAGUAUUUAAUUCAGAUCAGUUAAUUGUUGUUCCCUUUUUAGCUUUUCACUACUUUAUGAGGGCGGAGGACCUUAUUUAGUAAGUUGAAACCUUAUACCCAUAUUCAGGGGUUGAUCAGUAUUAAAGAAAAGAUUGGAGUUAAUUGGAAUGAGUCUUGUUUGAUGCCCUUGUGAUCACUUACUCAAUUCCAAGAUAAAAACAGUUAUAAAUAAAUGUGAGUUGCAUGCCUUAUGUGAUUGUUGAGUCAUAACAGGGUGUCAAUUUGUAAAUCAUGUAAAGUGAAACUGAGUAGCAAUAGCUUUAGACUGUGCACGUCUAAAGUGACGGACAAACAGGAGUUGGGGUUCAUGGUGGUAGCCCAUGGCCUUUCAUUCGGACCGGAUUGAUCACCGCAUCCUAUUUUCAGUCAAACGUUCCUCGAUAUCGCAGGUCACUGAGGUUACGGAGUCGCGCCCGUACCUCGCCUAGCUAGAA